Molecule: ribosomal RNA, 183 nt
Filed under: uncultured bacterium
Lineage: Bacteria
Description: partial 16S ribosomal RNA
Rfam family: Bacterial small subunit ribosomal RNA
Source: RNAcentral
UUCAUGAAGCUGGAAUUGCUAGUAAUGGCAGGUCAGCAUACUGCCGUGAAUACGUUCCCGGGCCUUGUACACGCCGCCCGUCACACCAUGAGAGUUGGGAAUACCCGAAGCCUGUGAGCUAACUUAUAGAGGCAGCAGUCGAAGGUAGAAUCAAUGAUUGGGGUGAAGUCGUAACAAGGUAAC